Molecule: ribosomal RNA, 556 nt
Filed under: uncultured bacterium
Lineage: Bacteria
Description: partial 16S ribosomal RNA
Rfam family: Bacterial small subunit ribosomal RNA
Source: RNAcentral
UGGGGAAUAUUGCACAAUGGGCGCAAGCCUGAUGCAGCCAUGCCGCGUGUGUGAAGAAGGCCUUCGGGUUGUAAAGCACUUUCAGCGAGGAGGAAGGUGGUGAGCUUAAUACGCUCAUCAAUUGACGUUACUCGCAGAAGAAGCACCGGCUAACUCCGUGCCAGCAGCCGCGGUAAUACGGAGGGUGCAAGCGUUAAUCGGAAUUACUGGGCCGUAAAGCGCACGCAGGCGGUUUGUUAAGUCAGAUGUGAAAUCCCCGGGCUCAACCUGGGAACUGCAUUUGAAACUGGCAAGCUAGAGUCUCGUAGAGGGGGGUAGAAUUCCAGGUGUAGCGGUGAAAUGCGUAGAGAUCUGGAGGAAUACCGGUGGCGAAGGCGGCCCCCCUGGACGAAGACUGACGCUCAGGUGCGAAAGCGUGGGGCAGCAAACAGGAUUAGAUACCCUGGUGUCCACGCUGUAAACGAUGUCGACUUUGGAGGUUGUGCCCUUGAGGCGCGGCUUCCGGAGCUAACGCGUUAAAUCGACCGCCUGGGGAGUGCGGCCGCAAGGUUAAAAC